UGCCUUAUCUCUACUUUGUAUAGACAGGGAGAAGGUGGUAAUGGUAGGGCAGCCAGUGGCAAGAAGCGAGCUUUGAUCAUCUUCUCUGAGGAACAGACCAGAGCCUUGAAGAGGUAUGCCUCAUGACAUAUGUAUAAGAAACAUGAUGAGUCUGUGUUUAGCAUGCCAGAACUAUUGAUCAUUGCAUGCUGCAGAACUUCUGUCAAUGCUGGAAACAAUUCUGAUAUGGUAAAGGAAGAAGUGCAUAAAGAAGCUGAACUGUGGUCCCUCAAGAGUUGGAUGUGACUGUUGUUGCAAACCAUGACUGGAUAUUUCUAAUCUACAGCAUGGAUGCUAUCAAAAUCCAUAAGAAGAGGGAGUAAAUGUUUCUGGCUUGAAUUUCAGGACACUAGCCACAACGUGUUUCUGCACUAGUGUCAUAGAGGAAGGAAAGCAUAUCUCUGCAUUAGAGGGUGGAUUUGGGCUAUAAUUUAAUUUCCACAGCAGCAUGUCCCAAUCAGCUGGAAAGCUUGUAAUUAACCUCUUCUCAGCAACCACAAGGAAACAGAAUUUGUUUGAGGAAACUUUGAUUACUCAAUGUGAACUGGAUUUCCAGCUAGAGUGCCUGUUCCUGUGUUAAAACUUCAUACUACCUGGCCCCUAUGGCAACUAUUGAAGUACUCUAGCAUGCUUUUGGAGAAGCACAGUCAAGGUUUUUGCCUAAAACUGUCCUGUCAGAAGUAAAAUUGAUAUCAGUGUUUUGCAAGGACAAGCAAAGGAAGACUAAACUUGAGGUACUUCAACCUAGAACUGCAGAGUAUUUCUACUAAAGCUUCUUGCCUGUGCUAUGGAUGCUGGAGAUAAUAGAAGUUUACCUUAGGUUUGUCUAACAUCCUUCCUCUCAAAGGGCAAAAAGCAUUUUCUACUUAAGCCAACAAACAACAAAAUUGGUUAUUUCAUCCAAAGUUAGACAAAGCCCUUCAUGUAAAUUCUGCUAUUGAGGAAACACUAUGUACAAACGCAUGCAAAAAGUACUUACAAGUUUGUUCCCUAGGCUUAACUUUCCAAGCACUCCUCACUUUUACCAACAGCUUAGACUGGUCUUGUCAGAAGCUUAUUCUUUUUCUAAUUGCUGGUACAAAAGGUUCUUAAAUCAUGUUUUGACAGCUGAAAUACUACAUCUUCACAAAUAAAAAAACCCCCUGUCAUUAGUGCUAGUGCAGAAGCAAAGGAACCAGAUGCAGUACUAAAAGCUGGGGGAGGGGACAAUAAUUCAAAAGUUAAGAAGAGCAUCUGCCUAUAGUUUGAUAGCAGCUAUCAGUCUAAAUCCAACCUAGAAAAUUAGGUUCUGCUACAGCUGGCAUAGAGCUGGACAAAAAAAGUUUAGAAAUAAUAGUAUUAGAUCAAGAGGGUAUUCUAUUUACUUCUGUACUUUUCAUUGUAAAAAAGAAAAAACCCAAACCAA
Gymnogyps californianus (California condor) is the source of this 1444-nucleotide long non-coding RNA. RefSeq lists it as uncharacterized. The transcript is spliced from 5 exons. Lineage: Eukaryota; Metazoa; Chordata; Aves; Accipitriformes; Cathartidae. The record is from RefSeq and is a predicted model, not a curated record.